This 252-nucleotide ribosomal RNA is filed under the name uncultured bacterium. Its description in RNAcentral is "partial 16S ribosomal RNA". It matches the Rfam family "Bacterial small subunit ribosomal RNA", at positions 796 to 1041 of the family's 1533-position model. The record is from RNAcentral.
CACGCCGUAAACGAUGGAUACUAGGUGUGGGAGGUCUCGACCCCUCCCGUGCCGUAGCAAACGCGUUAAGUAUCCCGCCUGGGGAGUACGGCCGCAAGGUUGAAACUCAAAGGAAUUGACGGGGGCCCGCACAAGCGGUGGAGCAUGUGGAUUAAUUCGAUAAUGACCGAAGAACCUUACCCAGGUUUGACAUGUCAGCGCCGUAUCCGGAAAUGGAUAUUCUUGUAGUAAUACAAGCGCUGUCACCGCUGU